Molecule: non-coding RNA, 79 nt
Filed under: Escherichia coli
Lineage: Bacteria; Pseudomonadati; Pseudomonadota; Gammaproteobacteria; Enterobacterales; Enterobacteriaceae
Also listed under: 1 other name
Description: Nucleoid-associated noncoding RNA 4 (CssrE)
Rfam family: Nucleoid-associated noncoding RNA 4 (CssrE)
About the family: In E. coli small RNA transcribed from repeated extragenic palindromic element (REP325) called nucleoid-associated ncRNA 4 (nRNA4) collaborates HU protein in condensing the DNA. The secondary structure but not the sequence of the RNA is important in nucleoid condensation.
Source: RNAcentral
GGCCAGAUAAGGCGUUCACGCCGCAUCUGGCAUUUGGCAUCUCGAUGCCUGAUGCGACGCUGGCGCGUCUUAUCAUGCC